GUGUGUGUGUGUGUGUGUGUGUGACAGCUAGUUCUUUUUCUCCCGGUCGUUUGUGCUCUCUUACAAUAAUGUACCAAUCAUUUUUCCCAUUUUGAGUCUUCGUAUAAUUCCAAAAGCAUUCAAAUGACUUUUCUGCUGAAUGUGUUGCUUGUGGUAGUCCAGCUUCGAUUGACAACUUUAGCAUUGCUGCAGUUUCAGUUCAUGUCAGCUGUACAUUGUCCGCCCGAGCUGUAGUGGGAACUUCCAGAGGGUUAGGAGGUAACAAGGAUGCCGGGUCAACAGAUGAAGUUGACGACGUUCUGUGUGUGGGAUCGGUUUGCAUGUUCCGCCUGUCAGCAGGUGGCGGUGGGUUGUAAGCUGAUGUAGUUGACUGAAGGAGAAGAAGUAAGAGCCCGGCAAAACACAGGCCUUACGUGGUGGCCAUGUAAGGACCAGCUAGCUGUUGUUCCCCCCCCCCCCCCCCCAGAGUUUUCCUGCUGUGAAAGCAAUAACGUUUCCCACGCACCACCUGAAGCGUCUGUCGCGAGAGCUGUAACAUCUGCUGCAGGGAGGGCCCCUAGCUAGCCGCCAUUUUCACUCUCACUCAAUUGGGAUUGAGCGCCCAUGUGUUUUUCACCAUGGGGAAUUUUGCCACCACUAAGAAGGGAAACGAACUAGAAAGCGGCAGUGGAUCAGGUGGUUCACUGUCACCAUGAAGAACCCGAGACAUUCAAAACAAAGCCAUCUCCCCUCAACCUCAAGCCAUCCACCACCAACCACGAGCCUCCCCCAUUCCUCCAAAAAGAGUUGGCCCAUCUCAGAAGAAAGUUUCCAGAAAAAUGCGCUGAGGCUGCUUACAGAGAUAAGGGACACCGGCAGGCAUCAAGACCUUAGGGCAGCACAAAAAGAGGACAUGGACAUUGUCCAGAUAAAAUCUUUGGCCGACAUCAUUGUCCUUGAACAGAAGGUGAUGGAAGAUCCUUCUACUUCUGCAAAACUGAAAUCCCAAUGUUGAAAGUUGGAGGGGUAACCCUCAGAGAAAAUAUCAAACGGAUCGGGAAGAGGUAAUUAUUAUAUGUUUUGUAAAUAUACAUACAUUGAAUGUUUUUUUUCCUUUUUUACCAGCAAUAUACAGUUGAGAAUCAGGUGAAGAUUUUUUACUUGUUUUGAUUUUCAAACAAUAUUGCAUUUAGGAAUGCAAUUGAAAGUAAUUUGUGUGCUGUUUUCCUGACAGAAGCAGUGGUAGGAAACAGGACAGGAGGAACCCAGAUGGAUAGUAAAUAUGAGAGACACAUAGUUAAAGUUCACAUAGUGGAAUAUUGCAUUAUAUUUUAUUUUGUUUGUAACAUACUUUGAGAAAAAAGCUAUUUGUUCUAAAUGAUGGAAAAAGUUAUUUGCUCUAAAUGUUAUACAUGUAUUACUGUGGGCUGUAUAAACCUAAUUGUUUGUAGUUUGAUUGAAAAACUGUGGUUUCACACUGCAUAAUAAAGGUUUCAAUCCAUAA
Molecule: long non-coding RNA, 1483 nt
Organism: Syngnathoides biaculeatus (alligator pipefish)
Lineage: Eukaryota; Metazoa; Chordata; Actinopteri; Syngnathiformes; Syngnathidae
Exons: 4
Source: RefSeq, a predicted model, not a curated record